This is a long non-coding RNA of Notothenia coriiceps (black rockcod), 318 nucleotides long. RefSeq lists it as uncharacterized. The transcript has 4 exons. Lineage: Eukaryota; Metazoa; Chordata; Actinopteri; Perciformes; Nototheniidae. The record is from RefSeq and is a predicted model, not a curated record.
AAAGCGGAAUCUUCAUAAGGCUGCUUCCUAGCUAUGUUUGGGAGCGGAGCUCACCCAAAGCUCAAGGCCGGAGUGAUGUCCUGUUUAUGAAUAACUUUUUGUACUCUUCCAGUGUCUUCACCUGACCUUGCUACAUUAGUAUUGCAAGCUGAAAACUUUCUUCUGACUAUUCCCUUCGUUGGUAUCUAACCCAUCAGAACCUGGGAUUAGUGAUUGUGUCUAUUUAUUUUAUAGUCAUAGCAAUCUCAUGAGCACAAUAAGCAUAUCAUGUAAUAAUAAGAAUCCCUCACCAAAUGUUAUAUAAAAAUAGACUUCCAA